CAUGUCACUCGCUCCUUCUCUCCCCCAGCUGCUCCACCGCUUUCACAAAACUAUUUGAUUUUGUCCCUAAUAGCUCUCACUCCAAACAGUUUAUAUCACCAGUCCUGGGGAAAAGAAAGCAAAGCAAAGCAAAAGCGAGAGAGAAACAAAAUAGAAAGCGAAGAGACGACGACCAUGUUCCCGUCGCCAGGGAGGGCGGUGAUGGCGCUGGGCCACGGUGGCCAGCACAUGACCGCGUCGUCCACCGCCGGCGGCAUGGCGGCAUCCUCGUCGUCCACCCCCACCAUAACGUUCGCGUUCCAGCAGCCGUCCCCUCCCCCUCCUCCGACGGCGACGAGCUCCCUCGCCCUCGCCCACCCCCACCACCAUGGCGUGCUAGGUUACGGCUCCGCCUGCCUUCUCCUGGACCACCACCACCCAACCACCGCCACCUCCUCGGCCUCUCCCUCGCACGCGGCUCCGUCCAGCGUCGUCCCGGCCCCCACCCUCCACCACCACUUCCAUGGCCAUGCAGCAGGAGCGCCGCACGUUUCCCUUUCCCCUCCCACGAGGGCGUCGCCUCCUCCUCAUCAUCCAUGGUCGACGGCGGCGGCCUGCGAAGAAGAGCCGGAGCCGCAUCACGAUCAUCGCCAACAAGCAGGCCAAGGCGGCAGACCGCCGAGGGGGAAGGGAGCGGCGGUGAGCGAGGGGUCGGCGGCGGCGCUGGGAGUGGGCGCCGUGCGGAUGAAGAAAGCGGGCGGCGGAGGAGGAGGCAAGGCGCGGCGGAAGGUGCGCGAGCCGCGGUUCUGCUUCAAGACGAUGAGCGACGUCGACGUGCUCGACGACGGCUACAAGUGGCGCAAGUACGGCCAGAAGGUCGUCAAGAACACGCAGCACCCAAGGAGCUACUACCGGUGCACGCAGGACAACUGCCGGGUGAAGAAGCGGGUGGAGCGGCUCGCCGAGGACCCCCGCAUGGUCAUCACCACCUACGAGGGCCGCCACGUCCACUCCCCGUCCCGCGACGAAGACGACGACGCCGCGCGCGCCAACGCCGAGAUGAGCUUCAUCUGGUAGCCUGCAGAUCCGGCUCCGACGACCGGCGGCCAUCUCUAUUCUCUCAGUGCAUACAACGUCGGCCGCCUCCGGUCUAAGUUUCGCCAGCAGCCGCCGCCACCACCAGCAGCAGCAGCUGAAUAUCCUGAAUUUAGCUAUUAUAUCCAUCCAUGCAUCGAAGAACUCUCAUCGAUCGUGUGUGCAUGUGGCAUGUCUAGGCAUUAUGUUAUUGCUAUGUCAAUCGAUCUUUAUAUAUAUACGCGAAUGAUGUCCGUCGCUGCAGGUACGUAGGGUGUGAACUGCAUGGUCCUCCUAGCUACUGUCGACCUGUCGUAGUUAAUUAGCUAAUAAUAUAGUAGUGCAUCCAGGUUAUGGACUAAAUAAUACUUAUAUACAUAGCAGCUACCUGAAACGUGUUCUAGAAUUACCAAUGUUUAUUGCACUUCUUUCCUUUGCUACUUUAAAUUUAUAAGGUUGAUAAGUUUGUUGGUGAUAUAUAUGAUGCUGCUUGGUUGUUCUU
RNAcentral lists this unclassified non-coding RNA (1555 nucleotides) under Zea mays. Its description in RNAcentral is "misc RNA Zm00001eb122090". The record is from RNAcentral. Lineage: Eukaryota; Viridiplantae; Streptophyta; Magnoliopsida; Poales; Poaceae.